CCUACGGGAGGCAGCAGUGGGGAAUAUUGGGCAAUGGAGGAAACUCUGACCCAGCAAUGCCGCGUGAAUGAAGAAGGUCUUCGGAUUGUAAAGUUCUUUAGUCAGGGAGUAAUAAAAUGCCGGUACCUGAAGAAUAAGCUCCGGCUAACUACGGGCCAGCAGCCGCGGUAAUACGUAGGGAGCAAGAGUUGUUCGGAAUGACUGGGGGUAAAGGUUGUGUAGGCGGUUAUACAAUUUAUAAGUGAAAUACCCAGGGUUUAACUCGGGUGCUGCUUCUAAAACUGUAAGGCUUGAGUGCAGUAGAGGGGAGUGGAAUUCCAGGGGUAGCGGUGGAAUGCGUAGAUAUUAGGAGGAACACCAGAGGCGAAGGCGGCUAACUGGACUGCAACUGACGCUGAGGCACGAAAGUGUGGGGAGCAAACAGGAUUAGAUACCCCAGUAGUC
Molecule: ribosomal RNA, 444 nt
Filed under: uncultured bacterium
Lineage: Bacteria
Description: partial 16S ribosomal RNA
Rfam family: Bacterial small subunit ribosomal RNA
Source: RNAcentral